UUUUUCGCAAUGGGGGAAACCCUGACGAAGCAACGCCGCGUGGAGGAUGAAGGCCUUCGGGUCGUAAACUCCUGUCGACCGGGAAGAAUGCACCUGACCUAAUACGUCAAAGUGUUGACUGUACCGGUGGAGGAAGCCACGGCUAACUCUGUGCCAGCAGCCGCGGUAAUACAGAGGUGGCAAGCGUUGUUCGGAAUUACUGGGCGUAAAGGGCGCGUAGGCGGCCCGUCAAGUCCCGUGUGAAAGCCCCCGGCUCAACCGGGGAACGGCGCGGGAAACUAGCAGGCUUGAGUUCGGGAGAGGGAAGCGGAAUUCCGGGUGUAGCGGUGAAAUGCGCAGAUAUCCGGAGGAACACCGGUGGCGAAGGCGGCUUCCUGGACCGACACUGACGCUGAGGCGCGAAAGCUAGGGGAGCAAACGGG
Molecule: ribosomal RNA, 422 nt
Filed under: uncultured bacterium
Lineage: Bacteria
Description: bacterial SSU rRNA
Rfam family: Bacterial small subunit ribosomal RNA
Source: RNAcentral